RNAcentral lists this ribosomal RNA (796 nucleotides) under uncultured archaeon. RNAcentral's name for it is "bacterial SSU rRNA". It matches the Rfam family "Archaeal small subunit ribosomal RNA", at positions 85 to 879 of the family's 1478-position model. The record is from RNAcentral.
ACUGCUCAGUAACACGUGGAUAACCUGCCCUUGGGUCCGGCAUAACCCCGGGAAACUGGGGAUAAUUCCGGAUAACGCACAUAUGCUGGAAUGCUUUAUGCGUCAAAUGGAUUCGUCUGCCCAAGGAUGGGUCUGCGGCCUAUCAGGUAGUAGUGGGUGUAAUGUACCUACUAGCCGACAACGGGUACGGGUUGUGAGAGCAAGAGCCCGGAGAUGGAUUCUGAGACAUGAAUCCAGGCCCUACGGGGCGCAGCAGGCGCGAAAACUUUACAAUGCGGGAAACCGUGAUAAGGGGACACCGAGUGUCAGCAUCAUAUGCUGGCUGUCCAGGUGUGUAAAAUACACCUGUUAGCAAGGGCCGGGCAAGACCGGUGCCAGCCGCCGCGGUAACACCGGCGGCCCGAGUGGUGAUCGUGAUUAUUGGGUCUAAAGGGUCCGUAGCCGGUUUGGUCAGUCCUCCGGGAAAUCUGAUAGCUCAACUAUUAGGCUAUCGGGGGAUACUGCCAGGCUUGGAACCGGGAGAGGUAAGAGGUACUACAGGGGUAGGAGUGAAAUCUUGUAAUCCCUGUGGGACCACCUGUGGCGAAGGCGUCUUACCAGAACGGGUUCGACGGUGAGGGACGAAAGCUGGGGGCACGAACCGGAUUAGAUACCCGGGUAGUCCCAGCCGUAAACGAUGCUCGCUAGGUGUCAGGCAUGGCGCGACCGUGUCUGGUGCCGCAGGGAAGCCGUAAAGCGAGCCACCUGGGAAGUACGGCCGCAAGGCUGAAACUUAAAGGAAUUGGCGGGGGAGCAC